GCCUCAGCCUCCCAAAGUGCUGGUAUUACAGGCAUGAGCCAUGAUGCCCAGCGAUUUUAAGGGAUGGAUGUGACUUAUUUUGGAGCUUUCCCAGGCAGGUUCCCAGGUUCUAGGCUGUGUGGCCUGACACGAUGAUGCAUCUUGGUGAUCCGGAGAUGACCCCAGGAAACCAGGAUUGGACGUUGGCAUUGAGUCCACCCAGCUCUCCCUUUCACAGAUGGAGACGGUGAAGCACAGAGGUCUUCGAGUAUAUGCUGAUGAUGCUUAGUGGUGGUCCUCGGGAAGCGAUUCAAGCACUGGAUGUCUGGUGGACCUGUCCUGGUGACUUUGGGCUCUAUUUUCACCUUGAAAAGUGGCAUUUGAAUUGUCUUUGUUCUCAGCAGAGAGAGCUGACACCCAUUCUUCACUUGAUCUUAGCCAAAAGUCCGGGAAGCGACACUGACACCCAUUCCUCUAAGUGCCUCCUGCACUCACAGGCUGAGCGGCCCACUUCUGCAGUGACGCUGCUGUCUUCUCGUGCUUCUACCUUAUAUAUUUAAAGACCUCAGUUUUUGUGAAUUUUUUACUUGCUGGCCAGGUAGCUAUCAGGGUGACCACUCCUUCAAACAGAAAGCUGUCCAGUGAGCUUCUGACUCUACCAUGCAGAUCCAGACAAAGCACAGGAUCAGGCAACUUGGGGUCCAAAUUCUAACUCCACCACUUAAUUGCUUUGAUUUAAAGCUAGCAUGUUAAUAUGUCUGGUAUAGACAGACCCCCAGUAAACAGUAGAUGACAGAAUAAAUCUCCCUGAGGUUUAAUUUUCUUCCUCUGUAAAAUGAGGGUGGAGAGCUGUUGUAAAAUUUAGUGCUUUACCCAUGAUGCUCAAUAAAUGAUCGCUAUUAUUGACAUAGUGAGUUCUCAAUAUUUGUUGAUUGAUGGGUCAAAAACUGUCCCUCAGGUCAAAGGGUUACUUGUCCAGGAAUGGGCUGGCAGAAGUGAGACAUUCCAGCUCCCUUUGAGAGCCAGGAGGAUUGCCCAGGUCUCUGGGACCAUGCCAUGUGGUAGGUCAGGACUGGGUUUAAAUGUCCAAUUCUGCUAGGUAGUAACGUAAGAACCUACCUUACUUGAACCCGGAAGAGUAGUAGGGAUAGCUGAGGGACAGGGUGGAGGAUGUUUUUUUCUUUUU
Molecule: long non-coding RNA, 1165 nt
Organism: Cebus imitator (Panamanian white-faced capuchin)
Lineage: Eukaryota; Metazoa; Chordata; Mammalia; Primates; Cebidae
Exons: 5
Source: RefSeq, a predicted model, not a curated record